CUUUUCCCUUUGACUGGCAGGGCAAGGUAGAAAGUGUCUUAAUGUUAUUUUAAGUGCUUACUACUACUUAGAUGCUGAAAGGGAUGGAGGGCUAUAAGAGGGAGUGUUAUACACUUCUAGCCACCCACAUACAGGCACUCAAGUCCAAGCUCACGGGAGGCAGGACCCUCCAGAACAGCGGAAUAGUUAAGCCAGAUCCUGGCUAGACGCACUGGAGCCAGUCUUAGCCAGACUUGGGUGACACCUGUGAGCUGCUGUUUCCUGAGCUCCUUCAGGUGUGGGAAAGGCCUCCAGGUGUGGGAAAGAAAAUCCAAUUGUCACUUCGUAAAUCAGCCUAGAAUGCCCCUCUACCAGGGAUCUCUGCAAUAUCCCAGAAGCAGGUUCUUUUUUAGCAACUGCUGGUAGGGAUUCUCCUUUAACAGCAAACUAUUACAUUUAGCAUGGCUAAGCAAUGAGGUCCUACUGUACAGCAUAGGGAGCUAUGUCCAAUCUCCUGGGAUAGACAAUGAUGAAAAAUAAUACAAAAAAAAUGUAUAUGUGCAUGACUGAAUCAGUAUGCUGUGUAGCAGAAAUUGGCACAGCCCUGUAAAUCAACUAUAUUUUAAGAAAAAAAGAAAACGUGAUAAAAUUCGUCAAAAUAUAAAAUUCUCCUUAGGAUAAGACCAAUAUAAAUAUAAUCAUGGUUUUCAUUUUUAAUAUCUUACCUUGGAAAUUAAUAUCAACCACUACAUGUGUGGUGUGACUUGUCAAACAAUAAACUUUACUAAGAAUUUUGAGAGAACAUAUGUGUUCCUGACACGCAUCUUACUGCCUGGCACAUAGUAAUAAUUCAAUAUUUGUUGAAUGAAUUCCCUUUCCUACAGUCAUUUCUUUUCCACUCCUUGAAUUUAGGGCUGCACCUGCAGCAUAUGGAGGUUCACAGGCUAGGGGUUGAAUCGGAGCUGUAGCUGCUGGCCUACGCCACAGACACAGCAACGUGGGAUCCAAGCCGUGUCUGUGAUCUACACCACAGCUCACGGCAACGCCAGAUCCUUUAACCCACUGAGCAAGGCCAGGGAUCGAACUUGCAUCCUCAUGGAUGCCAGUCAGAUUCGUUUCCACUGAGCCACAAUGGGAACUCCCAGAAGGCAAUUUUUAAGGGAAAGAUUUGAAGGAGCGAAAAUAAGGAGGAAGGGUAUCAGAGUCUCAAUUCUAUCAGUGUAUUCCUAAAGCUGAAAAUAAAUAAAUAAAUAAAACUUUUCCCUUAGGCAUUAGUAUCUGAAAUCAUAGCUUACUGGUGGAAAAAUUUCAAACAGAUAAUGGACAGCAGCAAAGAUGGUGCUAUGAGUGCAGCAUAACUCAGUUUCUCCACUUCUGCUUCUCUUGGGGGAAGAGUCUGAAAAGUUUUAUCAGAUCUCUUUGUAAAUCAGUAUGUUAGGAAUUUGUGUGGAAUGGAAUUCAAGUACAAUCAUCUCAAAGUACUAUUUUCUUGAGUCUGAGUAUUCCAUUUCAAAAAGAUUUAACAUUUAAAUAAUACUCUGAGAAAUGAAGAUAUUUUGAGAAUAUAAUAAUGUACAAGCUAGUAGGGUAGCCCAAGGUUUAGAUUAGCUAUGAUGAAUACUUUAAGUGUAUCUCUUGAUUCUGUCCAGCUUUUACUUUAUCCCAUGUAUAAUUUGACUUAUUUUUAAUAUGAAUGGAAGAGCUAAAGAUGCUGCAUCUCACAAACACACACACACACUCACACACAAUUUUAUAUACUAAUGAAUAUCAGAGAUGACAAUUUAGUGAUUUAACAGUAGGAUCUUUUUGAAUUUUGAAAUAAAUUUGUACCACUUAAUAGGUACAAUAGGUUCAAACCAUUGAUAUAUGUUUAAAGUUCUAUAAGCUUUGUUUUCUCAAAGUUCACUUUUGUUUAGGUAUCUUAUUUAUUUUUUGCAUAACCUGAAAAACGUAGCAGCAUGUUAAAAAAUGUUCAGUGAAAAUUUCUUUCACUUACUGUUUUUCUGUGUGUCAGAUCUGGACACAUUCAGAAUUCUGGUGUAGCUUUGGGAAGCUGACCAAUUCUGACUCAGCGCUAUGAGAAGGUGAUUUUGGAAUUUAAACAAGUAAUCAGAGUUGCAUGCUUUUAUAACUCUUGAUACUGUUCCUAAUAUUUCUUCUAAAUAUCUUUUUUUACUUUGUUAAUUUUUGAAAUCACCCAGAACCAGUACUCAAUUACCAACAAACUUCAAAUAAAUACUAUGUAUAUGACAAAAUAUUAUAUAUCUUACGUUUUAUGGAUGAAAAACAGAGAUAAAGAUAAUAAGAUAAUAAGUGGUAAAGCAGACCCUUAAACUGGCGUUUGUCUGACUCCAAAAUCUUUUCACUUAACCAAUACAUUACUAUGUCAGGAAACACACUUAGCAAGAAGUAACAGGAAAUCUAACCCAGAGUGGCUUAAAUAAUAAGAAAAUUGUAUUAUCUCAUAACAUGUGAUCCCAGAUGGGGUGGCUCUAGCAUAGAUAAUUCAGUAACUCAAAAAUAUCACAGAGACACAUAUUCUUUCCGUCUCUCCUCUAUGUUAAUUCUCUGUCACUGUGUUGAGUUUCCUCAUGGUCUUAAGAUGACUGCUAUGGUUUGAGGCAUCCCAUUCUUAUAUUUCAAUGUCAAAAGUCAAAAUACAGUGAAAAGACUCAUUUUUUUUUUUUCUUUCUGAAUACUUUUUAGGAGCUAAGAAAUAUUUUUUCUAAAGCUCUCCUAGAAGUCUUACCCUCAUAUUUCAUUAGCCUGAGUCAGGUCAUAUGGCCCUUUCUAAAUAGAUCAUUGUAAAAAAGGAAUGAAAUCACCACAAUUGAUUUAGAAAAAUCAAAAUUUACUGGAGCUAGAGCUGUCCUCUCUUCAAGGACAUGGUGCAUGGAAAAAAAUGUGGGUAUCUGAACAAAUUUUGUUGUGUUUUGUUUUUUUUAGCAAAAGUGGGGAAUAACUCUAGUAGGCAACCAAUAAAGUCCAUUAUAAAAUAGCUAUCUCAUGAUCACCAGGGACAAGGAGGAAGACAGGGAAACACUAAAAGGGGAAAGUUGGAGAUCAGUGGAAAAAGAAAGAAAAAAAUAGUAAUCUCGUGUAUAGCAGGUGUUCGAUAAUUGCUGAUGACAGAAAACGAAUGAAAUACAAUUUACAACAAAGUUAAUCUGACACAUAUUUAAUGAUAUGUGUUGUUCCAUGACAUUUCAGGCCAAUAGUUUAGUAGUCCACAUAAAUAACUGUAAUUAGUACUACUUUUUGACAGAUCUUUAUAGCUUUUAAUCUUCUGUGUUAAUUAACUAGUUUAAGAACAAGCGUCAAUGUUCAGGGGCUUUUUUUUUUUUUUUUUUUCACUCAUCUUACAAAUGAUUGAACCUUAAUCAUAUAUUCACCGCCAAGUACUAGAAUGAUUCCUCAAGAAGUGGA
RNAcentral lists this long non-coding RNA (3405 nucleotides) under Sus scrofa (pig). Its description in RNAcentral is "lncRNA (ENSSSCG00005006361.1)". Lineage: Eukaryota; Metazoa; Chordata; Mammalia; Artiodactyla; Suidae. The record is from RNAcentral.